AUGGCUCAGGAUGAACGCUGGCGGCGUGCCUAACACAUGCAAGUCGAGCGGAGAUAAGUUGAAGCCUAGCGAUUCUUAUCUUAGCGGCGGAUGGGUGAGUAACACGUGGGUAACCUGCCCUGUACUGGGGGGAUAACAGCUGGAAACGGCUGUUAAUACCGCAUAUGCGCACGGAGCCGCAUGGCCCUGGGCGGAAAGAUUCAUCGGUACAGGAUGGGCCCGCGCCGGAUUAACUUGUUGGCGGGGUAACGGCCCACCAAGGUGAUGAUCCGUAGCCGACCUGAGAGGGUGACCGGCCACAUUGGGACUGAGACACGGCCCAAACUCCUACGGGAGGCAGCAGUGGGGGAUAUUGCACAAUGGGGGAAACCCUGAAUGCAGCGACGCCGCGUGAAGGAAGAAGUAUUUCGGUAUGUAAACUUCUAUCAGCGGGGAAGAAGAUGACGGUACCCGCACAAGAAGCCCCGGCUAACUACGUGCCAGCCGCCGC
RNAcentral lists this ribosomal RNA (490 nucleotides) under uncultured bacterium. RNAcentral describes it as "bacterial SSU rRNA". It matches the Rfam family "Bacterial small subunit ribosomal RNA", at positions 19 to 518 of the family's 1533-position model. The record is from RNAcentral.